AUGGAUUUUUAAUUGCAUGCUUGCCCUCUCUCACUGUCUCUCUCUCUCUCUCUAUUUUUUUAAAGUUUUAUAUAUAUAUAUAUAUAUAUAUAUAUAUAUAGAGAGAGAGAGAGAGAGACACAGAGACAGAGACAGGGUGAGAGAGAGUGCGAGAGAGCAAGCAUGCAAUUAAAAAUGU
Non-coding RNA from Pelobates cultripes (western spadefoot toad), 178 nucleotides. The record is from the annotation of a GenBank genome assembly. NCBI's taxonomy places the organism in Eukaryota, Metazoa, Chordata, Amphibia, Anura, Pelobatidae.